Molecule: non-coding RNA, 1181 nt
Organism: Gasterosteus aculeatus aculeatus (three-spined stickleback)
Lineage: Eukaryota; Metazoa; Chordata; Actinopteri; Perciformes; Gasterosteidae
Source: RefSeq, a predicted model, not a curated record
UUAUUGUAAGUCGCUUUGGAUAAAGGCGUCUGCUAAAUGACAUGUAAUGUAAUGUAUUUGUUUUGGCUUGUUUUUCUCGUACCACAAACAUGUUCCAACCUAAUAAAACACUUUUAGUGUUUUAUUUCAAUAUACAGUGUUAAGCACCGUCUUCAAACUGUUUAAAACUUCCAGGCCGGGACAAGAUCACCGCCCUGUAGUUUGAAAAGCGCUUUUCUUUCUUUCUCGGCCACUCAAAGCACGUUUACACUGCAUUUUACAGUGUAAUUCACAAAGCAGACUAACAAAGUACAGGGGAAAGGUGAUUAGUGCGGGGCAAACAAUCAAUGAAAAGGGGGGGAAAAAACAUGACGCCUAGCGUUAACUUUCAAAAUAAUACACAGAUAAACACAAUACAAACACUGGAGACCAUUAAGAUUCAUUAAGUUUCAUUCACCUACCAAAAUACAGGUUACUUCUCUUUUGCUCCUUCAGAAUAAAGCUCUGCGAGGGUUUCCUGUGUGACCAUCGGAGUGCUCUGCUCGUCCUUUACUUCUACUCCCUGGAUGCACGACAAACACACACACACACACACACAGAAAAAACACACACAAGAGUGAUCUACAGCCAGACAGGAAGCCGCCCCCCCCUCCUCUGUUUCCAGUUUCCAGCAUGGAUGGAUGUGUGUGUGUGUGUGUGUGUGUGUGUGUGUGUGUGUGUGUGUGUGUGUGUGUCCAUGCUCGCUCUGUGCAGGCAAUCGGCUGGAGGCAGACUGAGCGACGCUGGAAGAGAAUGACACACACACAGGAGAAGAUAGUGGAGGUUAGAAGCAAUAUUACGGGAGGAGAAAAAACAUGCGCAAAAUAGUUUACAGGGCACGAAGGAAUAGAACAAAAAGAAGAGCUCGGCAUCCUGACUGGAACUACCAGGUGAAACCUCUUACCAAGCGGCCCUGGAAGCCACCAGCUGAUUGGAGCAAAAGGGGAAUGAAAGGCCGUGGAAGCCAGGAUGAGCCGGAUGAGCUGGGAGUAGCUGGAGGCGUGCAACUUGCAGAGUGUGUUCGAGUGUCUGCGUUUGCCGGGUUGUGCUGGUACUUGUUUGUGGUGGCGUUUUUGUUUCUGCUGUUGGACAGUAUGAUUUUGAGUUUGAACCUGAUGUGGAUGUUUAUUUAUUAUGAAAUAAAUCCCUCUUUUGGUUAAAAA